UUGGCUGCUGUGAGGCAAAUAAACUCAUGAUUUCUGAAUUGAGGUAUAUUUUUUCAAUUUUUUAUAAGAUUUUUUUUAAAGAUUUAUUUUUUAUUUCAUGUAUAUGUGCAUAUUGUAGCUGUCUUCAGAGACAUCAGAAGAGGGCAUCAUUUCCCAUUACUGAUGGUUGUGCGCCACCAUGUGGUUGCUGGGAAUUGAACUCAGGACCUCUGGAAGAGCAGUCAGUACUCUUAACCAAUGUGCCAUCUCUCCAGCCCCAUUUCUUUCUUCCUUUCCUUCUCUUUCCCUUUCCCUCUUUCUUUCCCUCUUCCUUCCUUCCUUCCUUUCUUCCUUCCUUCCUUCCUUCCUUCCUUCCUUCCUUCCUUCCUUCCUUCCUUUCUUCCUCCCUCCCUCCCUCCCUCCCUCCCUCUCUCUCUCUCUCUUUCUUUCUUUCUUCCUUUCUUUCUUUCUUAUACUUUUCAAUUUUUAAAGUUAAAGUAAAUAGAAUGUUUCCUUGGUCUUUUAAAUUAAAAUGGUUAGUUGAUUAGUUUAAAAAAUUUAAGAAAUUCCAGAGAAUCUUAUAAAAAUACUUACUACCCAAGUUAAAUUUGGUUCUUUUUUGUGUGUGGUUGUUUAAAGUCUAUUCUAAACAACUACAACAACAAAAAAUUACAAGUUGUAAAAUACUUUGACCCUUUACCAGUCUCAUGUGAAGGUUUCUUUGAUAUGAAUUAUUUGAAGUGGAAUUUGUAAGUUGUAGAGUAUUUAUAUUUUCAAUUUUAGUAGCUUUUAUUAUGUUUUUAAAGAGGCUGAAGUGGUUUAUAGUCCAACUAGUGGCUUGUGAGAACUUUAGUAUCUUAGCUAGGGCACAGUGAUGCAUACUUAAAUCCCAGAACUUCGGAGACAAGGCAAGCAGAUCUCUGAGUUCGAGGCCAGCCUGGUAUACAGAGCAAGUUCCAGGACAAGGGCUACAGAGAAACGCUUUCUCAAAAAACAAAAACAGAAAUAAAAUCUUUUAUUUAUUUUUUUACACUCCAGAUUUUAUCUGCACCCCUGCCCUCACAACCUUCCCUGGUCCACCCUCUUACUGUUCCACAUCCCAUACCUCCUCCCCACCCCACCUGACUUCUAAAUUCCCUGGGGCCUCCAGUCUCUUGAGGGUUAGGUGCAUCAUUUCUGAUUAAACACAGACCCAGCAGUACUCUACUGUAUAUGUGUUGGGGGCCUCAUAUCAGCUGGUGUAUGCUGCCUGUUUGGUGGUCCACUGUUUGAUAGAUCUUGGGGGUCCAGAUUAAUUAAGACUGCUGGUCCUCCUACAGGGUCACUCUUGACCCCUCAGCUUCUUUCUGCCUUUCCCCAAUUCAACCACAGGGUUCAGCAGCUUCUGUCCAUUGAUUGGGUGCAAAUAUCUGUAUCUGACUCUUUCAGCUGCUUGUUGGGUCUUCCAGAGUGUAGUCAUGCUACAUCCUUUUUUGUGAGCGCUCCAUAACCUCAGUAAUAGAGUCAGGCCUUGGGACCUCUCCUUGAGCUGGAUCUCACUUUGGGCCUGCCACUGGACGUUUUCCUCAGGCUCCUCUCCAUUUCCAUCCCUGUAAUUCUUUCACACAGGAACACUUAUGGGUCUGAGUUUUGACUGUGGGAUGGCAACCCCUCCCUCAUUUGAUGUUUUGUCUUCCUGUUGGAGAUGGGCACUAUAAAUUCCCUCUCCCUACUGUCAGGCAUUUCAUCUAAGGUCCCUCCCUUUGAGUCCUGGGAGUCUCUCACCUCCCAGGUCUCUGGUGUAUUCUGGAGGGUCCCUCCAACCUCCUACCUCCUGAGGUUGCCUGUUUACAUUCUUUCUGCUGGCCCUCAGGGCUUCAGUCUUUUCCCUUACCCAAUACCAGAUCAAAUUCCCCUCUCCCUCAGCAUCCCCCAUCCACUUUCCCUCCUAAGUCCCACCCUCCCUCCCCACUUGUGAUUGCUUCUUUCUCCCAAGCAGGACUGAGGCAUCCUCACUUGGGCACUUCAGCUUGUUGACCUUUAUGAGUUCUGUGAGUUGUAUCUUGGGUAUUCUGUACUUUUUUUUUUUUUGGCUAAUAUCCACUUAUUAGUACAUACCAUGCAUGUCCUUUUGGGUCUGAGUAACCUCACUCAGGAUGAUAUUUUCUAGUUGCAUUCAUUUGCCUGCAAAACUCAGGAUGUCCUUGUUUUUAAUAACUGAGUAGUAUUUAAUAAUUGAGUAGUAUUCCAUUGUGUAAUUGAACCACAUUUUUUGUAUCCAUUCUUCUGUUGUGAGACAUCUGGGUUGUUUACAGCUUCUGGCUGUCACAAAUAAGGUUGUUAUGAACAUAAUGGAACACUUGCUCCUGUGGCAUGGUGGGGCAUCUUUUGGGUAUAUUCCCAAGAGUGGUAUAGCUGAGUCUUCAGGUAGAUCUAAUUUUCUGAGGAACCUCCAGAUUGAUUUCCAGAGUGGUUGUACCAGUUUGCAGUCCCACAAGCAAUGGAGGAAUGCUCCUCUUUCUCCACAUCUUCGACAACAUGUGUUGUCACCUGAGGUUUUGAUCUUAGUCAUUCUGAUUUGUGUAAGGUAGACUCUUUAGGUUGUUUUGAUUUUCAUUUCUCUUAUUACUAAGGACUUUGAACAUUUCUUUAGGUGCUUCUUAGCCAUUUGACAUUUCUCAGUUGUGAAUUCUCGGUUUAGUUCUAUACCCCAUUUUUUCAUUGGGUUGUUUGGCUUUAAGGUGAUUAGCUUCUUGAGUUCUUUAUAUUUUGGAUAUUAGUCCUCUAUCAGAUGUGGGGUUAGUGAAGAUUUUUUUUCCCAAUCUGUAGGUUGCCGAUUUGUCCUAUUGACAAUGUCCUUUGCCUUACAGAAGCUUCCCAGUUUCAUCAAUUGUGGAUCUUAGAGCAUGAGCCAUUGGAGUUCUGUUUAGGAAAUUUCCCCCUUUGCCAAUGAGUUCAAGGCUCUUUCCCACUUUCUCUUUUAUUAGAUUCAGUAUAUCUGGUUUUAUGGUGAGGUCCUUGAUCCACUUAGACUUGAGCUUUGUGCAAGGUGACAAAUAUGGGUCUAUUUUCAUUUUUCUACAUACAGUCAGUUAGUCCAGCACCAUUUAUUGAAGAUGCUUUCUUUUUUCCAUUGUAUAUUUUUGGUGUCUUUGUCUAAGAUCAAGUGUCCAUAGUGUGUGGUUUUAUUUCUGGGUCUUCUAUUCUAUUCCAUUGAUCAACAUGUCUGUCUCUGUACCAAUACCAUGCAGUUUUAAUCACUGUUGCUCUGUAGUACAGCUUGAGGUCAGGGGUGGUGAUUCCCUAGCCAUUCUUUUAUUGUUAAGAAUUGCUUCGAUUGAUAUUCUGAGUUUUUUGGCCUUUCCAGAUGAAUUUGAGAAUUGCUCUUUCCAUGUCUUUGAAGGAUUGUGUUGGGAUUUUGAUGGCGAUUGCCUUUGGUAGGAUGGCCAUUUUUACUAAAUUAAUUCUGCAAAUCUAUGAACAUGGAAGAUCUCUCCAUUUUCUGAGAUCGAUUUUUUUUUUCUUGAGAAACUUGAAGUUAUUGUCAUACAGGUCUUUUACUUGUUUGGUUAGAGUUAUCCCAAGAUAUUUUAUAUUAUUUGUGGCUAUUAUUAAGGGAGUUGUUUCCCUAAUUUCUUUCUUAUCCUGUUUAUCAUUGGUAUAAAGGAAGGCUUCUGAUUUAUUUGAGUUAAUUUUAUGUCCAGCCACUUUGCUGAAGUUAUCAGUUGGAGAAGUUCUCUGGUAGAAUUUUUGGGGUCGCUUAUGUAUACUAUCAUAUCAUCUGCAAAUAGUGAUACUUUUAUUUUUUCUUUGCCAAUUUGUAUCCCCUUGAUGUCCUUUUAUUGUCUUAUUGUUCUAGUUAGCACUUUGAGUACUAUUUUGAAUAGAUUUGGGAGAGUGGGCAUCCUUCUCUUGUCCCCAAUUUUAGUGGGAUUUCUACAAGUUUGUCUCCAUUUAAUUUGAUAUUGGCUGUUGGUUUGCAGUAAAUUGCUUUUAUUAUAUUUAGGUAUGGGCCUUGAAUUCCUGGUCUCUCCAGUACCUUUAACAUGAAGGGGUAUUAUAUUUUGUCAAUUGCUUUUUCUGCAUCCAAGGAGAUGAUCAUGUGAUUUUUUUUCUUUGAGUUUGUUUAUAUAGUGGAUUACGUUAAUGGUUUUUAUAUAGUAAACCAACCUUGCAUCCCUGGGAUGAAGCCUACUUGAUCGUGGUGAAUGAUGGUUUUGAUAGGUUCUUAGAUUCAGUUUGCAAGAAUUUUAUUGAGUAUUUUUGCAUCGAUAUCCAAAAUCUUAAGUAAUAACUUCUGGCUUCUUUUCGUUUGUGCUAGGAUUAAGCUUGCAAUAAGAGAGGCUGAAAUUCAAAAGCUUCAUGCAAAUCUGACUGUGAACCAGCUCUCUCAAAAUGUUGCUAAUGAUAGUCAAGAAUGUGGUAAAGUAAACACGUUAGAAACAGAACCGGUAAAAUUAGGAGGUAGUCAAGUCGGUGAGUAUAUUACAUUUGAAUUACUUUGAUAAAUGACAAUUAGCUUUUGCUGAUAGUAUUUUAAAGGAAAAUAUUAUUAAUUGAUGAUAUUAAAACACUUAGUCUCCUAUUAAUACCUAUGGUUUGUAAAGACAAGAAUUAUUGUGCAGUUCUUAGACUUUGCAUUGUUUAAAAAAUGAUAUUGCUGAAACAAAAUAUCCAAUAAGGUGUACCUCUUUUAAAUACGCAAAUGGGUUGCUGAGCAUGGUAUCACUUUGGAGGCAGAGGCAGGUGGAUCUCUGUGAAUUCAGUGACAGCCUGGUGUACAUAGUCCAAGGACAGUCAGAGCUACAAAGUAUAACACUGUCUUGAAAAAACAAAACAAAAAACCCCAAAUAUACAUAUUUGCUUGCAUGCAGUUGGUUUACGUGUUUGUUUUAAAGUAUGUUCAUGCAGUUGUUAACAUCACCAUAGCCAAAACAUGUAACACUUUUAUCAGGAUCUUUUAUAGUCCUUUUCAGUUUUCUUUAGUUUUAAUUUCUGUUGUUGCUUUUCAGUGCUGGGAAUUGAGCCAGGGAUGGAGCUAUAUUCUCAGCCCUUUAUUAAAUUCUCUUAAAAGUGAAAGCUGUUUUUUUC
Molecule: long non-coding RNA, 5049 nt
Filed under: Mus musculus (house mouse)
Lineage: Eukaryota; Metazoa; Chordata; Mammalia; Rodentia; Muridae
Description: long non-coding RNA chr5:108163729-108168778
Source: RNAcentral